RNAcentral lists this ribosomal RNA (465 nucleotides) under Vreelandella stevensii. RNAcentral describes it as "partial 16S ribosomal RNA". It matches the Rfam family "Bacterial small subunit ribosomal RNA", at positions 338 to 795 of the family's 1533-position model. The record is from RNAcentral. Lineage: Bacteria; Pseudomonadati; Pseudomonadota; Gammaproteobacteria; Oceanospirillales; Halomonadaceae.
CCUACGGGGGGCUGCAGUGGGGAAUAUUGGACAAUGGGGGGAACCCUGAUCCAGCCAUGCCGCGUGUGUGAAGAAGGCCCUCGGGUUGUAAAGCACUUUCAGUGAGGAAGAACGCCUGGUGGUUAAUACCCAUCAGGAAAGACAUCACUCACAGAAGAAGCAUCGGCUAACUCCGUGCCAGCAGCCGCGGUAAUACGGAGGGUGCGAGCGUUAAUCGGAAUUACUGGGCGUAAAGCGCGCGUAGGUGGCUUGAUAAGCCGGUUGUGAAAGCCCCGGGCUCAACCUGGGAACGGCAUCCGGAACUGUCAAGCUAGAGUGCAGGAGAGGAAGGUAGAAUUCCCGGUGUAGCGGUGAAAUGCGUAGAGAUCGGGAGGAAUACCAGUGGCGAAGGCGGCCUUCUGGACUGACACUGACACUGAGGUGCGAAAGCGUGGGUAGCAAACAGGAUUAGAUACCCUAGUAGUC